GGUUUCCAUGCAGGGAUGUCAGUCUGGGAUGCAGGGGCUGCCCAUCCAAGGGGAAGAGUCAUUGCCAACCCUUCCCUCUGUCCCCUUGCGCUUUCUCCAGCUGGAAGAGGAGAGAGACAGAGCAGAUGAGUACCUGCGCCAGUCUGUGAUGUACCUGCAAAGCCCACAGAAGUCCAUGCGAGAGGCAGCCGUCAGGCUCACUGCUCUUCAAGGCACAACAAAAAACUUUAGCCCUUCCAUCUCUAACCUCAUUACUCAAGCCCGGCACUUUCUAAGAACUGCAGAGAGAAAUCCUUACUCCAGAUUCAAGCUUCUGCAAAACCAGCUCUGUGAGGCACGGAAGAAGCAAACUUCUGUCUCGGGACGUGGCAAUGUUGGGUUACGCUGCAGGAAGUCCUUGCACUGCUGACCCCAGGAGCUCUCAGGGCCAUAUGAAUGGAAAUAUUAGGUGGAUUCUGGCCUCUCCCAACACACAGAAUAUCUCUUCUCUUAGAUCACUUUUCUUCACCCCUUUUAAAGACACUUUUAAAAUGCAAAAACAGGCACUAUUUUUUGUGAACUAAAGGUUCACAGUCUCUUUCUUUGGGCUCCUGACAGUCAGAGCCAAAUCUGCAGCUGGCACUGCAGCUGAACACUGAGCUAUCUGCACUGAUCAUAUAUCUCAACGCUCCCACCCAUAUUUUAAUUGAGCAUAUCUGCUAAUACACUAGGAGAGAAAAAAAUGUUUCAAAGCAUUUAACCACUGCUCUUACAUACAGCAUUAUAACAAAUAACAAACUUAACAGAGUUAAGGCUAACAAGAGUGUCAUAGGACAGAAAUAUUUAUCAAUAUGAAACCACAAAGGACCCUCAAAAAUCAGUUACUGAUCAAGAGAUUGAUCCUUCUCUAUUUGUUAGCAUAUUGAGUCAGGCAGACAUCACCAUCUAACAGAGAAUAUUCUGAAUUGGAAGGGACCUACAAUGAUCAUUGAGGCCAAUUCCUUAAAUAAACGGUUCAUAUGGUGAUUGAAGGUGUCUGUG
RNAcentral lists this long non-coding RNA (1020 nucleotides) under Parus major (Great Tit). RNAcentral describes it as "lncRNA (ENSPMJG00000005750.1)". Lineage: Eukaryota; Metazoa; Chordata; Aves; Passeriformes; Paridae. The record is from RNAcentral.